This 464-nucleotide ribosomal RNA is filed under the name uncultured Methanosaeta sp. Its description in RNAcentral is "bacterial SSU rRNA". It matches the Rfam family "Archaeal small subunit ribosomal RNA", at positions 875 to 1338 of the family's 1478-position model. The record is from RNAcentral. Lineage: Archaea; Methanobacteriati; Methanobacteriota; Methanomicrobia; Methanotrichales; Methanotrichaceae.
AGCACCACAACGGGUGGAGCUUGCGGUUUAAUUGGAUUCAACGCCGGAAAUCUUACCGGGACCGACAGCAAUAUGAAGGCCAGGCUGAAGACUUUGCCGGAUUAGCUGAGGGGUGGUGCAUGGCCGUCGUCAGUUCGUACUGUGAAGCAUCCUGUUAAGUCAGGCAACGAGCGAGACCCACGCCCACAGUUGCCAGCGUACUCUCUGGAGUGACGGGUACACUGUGGGGACCGCCGCUGCUAAAGCGGAGGAAGGAAUGGGCAACGGUAGGUCAGUAUGCCCCGAAUAUCCCGGGCUACACGCGAGCUACAAUGGUUGGUACAAUGGGUAUCUACCCCGAAAGGGGACGGGAAUCUCCUAAAACCAAUCUUAGUUCGGAUUGAGGGCUGCAACUCGCCCUCAUGAAGCUGGAAUCCGUAGUAAUCGCGUUUCAACAGAACGCGGUGAAUACGUCCCUGCUCCUU